ACGAACGCUGGCGGCGUGCUUAACGCAUGCAAGUCGAACGGUAAGGCCCCUUCGGGGGUACACGAGUGGCGAACGGGUGAGUAACACGUGAGCAACCUGUCCUUGACUUCGGAAUACCAGCUGGAAACAGCUGCUAAUACCGGAUAUGACACUUGCCCUCAUGGGUGGGUGUGGAAAGCUCCGGCGGUCAGGGAUGGGCUCGCGGCCUAUCAGCUUGUUGGUGAGGUAAUGGCUCACCAAGGCUUCGACGGGUAGCCGGCCUGAGAGGGCGACCGGCCACACUGGGACUGAGAUACGGCCCAGACUCCUACGGGAGGCAGCAGUGGGGAAUAUUGCACAAUGGGCGCAAGCCUGAUGCAGCAACGCCGCGUGCGGGAUGACGGCCUUCGGGUUGUAAACCGCUUUCAGUAGGGACGAAGCUAACGUGACGGUACCUACAGAAGAAGGACCGGCUAACUACGU
RNAcentral lists this ribosomal RNA (462 nucleotides) under uncultured bacterium. Its description in RNAcentral is "bacterial SSU rRNA". It matches the Rfam family "Bacterial small subunit ribosomal RNA", at positions 29 to 506 of the family's 1533-position model. The record is from RNAcentral.